RNAcentral lists this ribosomal RNA (460 nucleotides) under uncultured bacterium. RNAcentral's name for it is "partial 16S ribosomal RNA". It matches the Rfam family "Bacterial small subunit ribosomal RNA", at positions 338 to 795 of the family's 1533-position model. The record is from RNAcentral.
CCUACGGGCGGCAGCAGUGAGGAAUCUUGGUCAAUGGGCGUAAGCCUGAACCAGCCAAGUCGCGUGAGGGAUGAAGGUUCUAUGGAUCGUAAACCUCUUUUAUAAGGGAAUAAAGUGCGGGACGUGUCCCGUUUUGUCUGUACCUUAUGAUUAAGGAUAGGCUAACUCCGUGCCAGCAGCCGCGGUAAUACGGAGGCUCCGAGCGUUAUCCGGAUUUAUUGGGUUUAAAGGGUGCGUAGGCGGCCUUUUAAGUACGCGGGGAAAGUCUUUGGCUCAACCAUAGAAUUGCCGUGGAAACUGGGAGGCUUGAGUGUGUGUGAGGCAGGCGGAAUGCGUGGUGUAGCGGUGAAAUGCUUAGAUAUCACGCAGAACCCCGAUGGCGAAGGCAGCCUGCCAAGCCAUGACUGACGCUGAUGCACGAAAGCGUGGGGAUCAAACAGGAUUAGAUACCCGGGUAGUC